Molecule: ribosomal RNA, 238 nt
Filed under: uncultured bacterium
Lineage: Bacteria
Description: partial 16S ribosomal RNA
Rfam family: Bacterial small subunit ribosomal RNA
Source: RNAcentral
CGGAACGGGUGGGUAACGCGUGAGGAACCUGCCUCAAAGAGGGGGACAACAGUUGGAAACGACUGCUAAUACCGCAUAAGCCCACAGCUCGGCAUCGAGCAGAGGGAAAAGGAGUGAUCCGCUUUGAGAUGGCCUCGCGUCCGAUUAGCUAGUUGGUGAGGUAAUGGCCCACCAAGGCGACGAUCGGUAGCCGGACUGAGAGGUUGAACGGCCACAUUGGGACUGAGACACGGCCCAA